AAUUUUAUUUAAAUGCUCAAUGGAAUUCACCAUGGAAACCUUCUGGGCCUAGAAAUUUCCUUUUUGGGAGCUUUUAAAUUAUAGUUGAAUAUCUUUAUUAGUUACAGGACGUAAUAAGUAGUAUUUUCAUUAAAUAUUUUUCCACACUUUCUCAUACAUUUGAGCACUCAAUAAAUAUUUAAUCAACUGUUUUUCUCAGUGGAUUUUGCAAAGACCCUUUCUAAAUUAAAAGGGACAUCACAAUAACCAAUCAUAUAAACUAAUUCUUAGUAAAAUAAAAUGCUCUCGUCUCCUGUGCAAAGUUCUUGUUCUGUUUUUUGUAGUUUCUAACAGCUUUGAUAUUUUAGGCAAGUCAGAACUUGCCUAAACAAAUGCUUCAUUAACAAACCUUUUUUAUGUGUGAUUACUCUGGUAUUUUCUACUCUAUUCUAUAUUAUUUUUAAAAAAUACUGGUUGCAACUCAUUAAAUUGAUUUCAGGACCCACUAAUGGGCUACAACCUGCAAUUUGAAAAACAGUGAUUUAAAUAUUCUCUCAUGUCCCUUCUACUUCAGAUAUUUGCUACUAAAGGUGUCUACUGCUUUAUUCUCUUGACUACAACACAAAGCAUAUUAGACACCUACAGCACUGUUAUUUUACAAUUUAUUUUCAAAUCACUUCCAAAGUCGAUUUAAGAUAGUUUACAAUAAAUGCAGAGUUAUGUUUUUAAGGGAAAAGGGAAAAAUGAGAAAUGAUGGAGAAAGUACUUUUCCACUUUUCAGGAAUUAAAAUAGUCAUGGAAAGAAAAAUAAAGUAUCAGGAAAUACAGGUAUCAAGUCAUUUAGUCUAAAUUACUUCUCACUGUACUUUGUUAAAAGGAGAUCAGAAUUUCAAAGACCAGAAGAGGUUGCUGAGAGUGGAAUUGUCCAGCCAUUGCAGCCCUCCUUCCACGGGAGAAAAGAAAGAGGUCUUGGACAAAUGUGGGAUUCCUGUGGUCUGGAAGUAAAUCUGAGGUGGGGUCUUGCUAUGUCACCCAGGCUGGAGUGCAGUGACUAUUCACAGGCAUGAUCAUCGCACACUACAGUGUUAAACUCUGGGCUUAAGCCAUCCUCCUGCCUCAGUCUCUCAAGUAGCUGGGACCACAGGCACAUGCCACCAUGCCUGGCUUGUACUUGAUUUUUAAAGUUCUUGGCAAUGUGUUUCUUAACAAUUAUCUUUGAAAAAUUGUCUUUUGUUGGCAUGUUCUUCUCAUGCAAUUGGAGACAGUUCUUCCUGCUAGUUUCACAUUUUACCUUUUUGGUGGGUUCUACUUGCCCAUUCCACACUGAUAGGAGCAUUUUUUUCCCCCUUUCUUUCCUUUUAUUAUUUUUAUUUUUUAACUUCCUGUGUUAGGCACCAAACCAUACUGCUCUGCCCCUGUUACCAAGAACUUAUGUUGCCAGUAUAAAUAAGAUCACCUGCUUUGUGCAUUGCCGUUCAGAGUGGCAGGGAGUUCAAGAUCCAGUGGUUUCGGGGUAGCACUCCAGGCUGGUAUACAUGGCCUUUUGGACCAUUCAAGUCUACCAGCAGUAAGGAAGAUUAAAGAAAUUGGCAGGAUCUUCAGUGUCAGCCAAUAUUAUCAGCAACUGCUGCACAUUCCGGAAGAACAUCAACACCCCUACUUUGACCCACACGAAUCAAUCGUCCUUGCUGCACCAGUUCUUCUGUAGCACCUGGAAGUGCUGCCAAACAAGGGGCUGACUGGCCAGGGUUGGCUCUUCCAGCCAGCAUUGUUUGUCCUGGGUCUCCAGAAACUGUCUCAUCAGCACUGAAUCUGCAAAUAUGAGUAACAUACACCUGGACAGAGCCCUGGAGGGGGCAGAGAGGUUUUCAGGGAUCAGCAGACGCGCUGAAAAACGGAUCGUCUUGCUGCAGGUGUGGUGGCUGCCAAGGCAGGCAGAGCCCUUUGGAUAGAGCCACAUCUGAGAUGAAAGAAUUAAGGCCCAGGGAAUUUAAUUGACAUCCAGUUACCUGUUCCCCUUCUGGAAAAUUCUUGCUGUGAAAAUUUGACAUUUGAUUAGCCAUUGGUGAGACUUCAGCAGUCCUGGGGAAACUUCAGUCUUCAUUCCAAGGACUCCCUCCCUCUGGAGCCCCCUGGACUGCAGGCGUCUCUUGGAUGCGGAUGUUCCCCCUACACAAGAGGCUCAGACACAGAACAAAUGCAUGCACUGGUGUUAAAUGCAGAGAAGAGAAGGUGUUAUCUCCUGAAAUGGAUUCUGCUUUCUUCGGGGUUAGAAGGCCUCCUUUUUGAACUGACCUCAACCCUGCUGAUUUUGUCUCCUUUCCUGGCCAUGAGGAUCAGAAAUCAGCAAUGAUUUCAUAAGUAACUUCUCAUGAAACCACAUACCGCAGCGUGAGUCACACAUGUAGCUCUGUGCACCUGUAGGCGUAUAUGCCAUUCUUUUUAAAUCUGCCAGGAAUGUGAUGAUCAACUGGACCCAGUUUGCCUGGGAUUUUCCUUAUUUGUACUGAAAGUCUUGUAUCCUGGGAAAUCCCUCACUUCCAGGCAUACUGGUGUGAUUGACCAUCCCACCCAGGAAAUGAGGAAGAAGCAAGGGGUCCUUAAUGUGUUGUCCCUACCUGAAUCUGCCCCUUUCCCUCUCUGUGAAAGUAGGGAACCUCAAACCCUUGUGGGGCCUGAUGCUCCCACCCAGCUGCAUGGGGAGGACAUUUAUGUCAACUUGAGCAGAAAGUAGGGGAUCUAAAUUUAUCUAUUGAAAUGUGUUGCUACAUCUCCAAACUAAGAUGUCUGUAUCUGCGUGUGCAUUAAAACACAUAUAAUUACACA
Molecule: long non-coding RNA, 2805 nt
Organism: Homo sapiens (human)
Lineage: Eukaryota; Metazoa; Chordata; Mammalia; Primates; Hominidae
Exons: 5
Source: RefSeq, a predicted model, not a curated record